AGUGAACGCUGGCGGUAGGCCUAACACAUGCAAGUCGAACGGCAGCACAGUAAGAGCUUGCUCUUACGGGUGGCGAGUGGCGGACGAGUGAGGAAUACAUCGGAAUCUACUUUUUCGUGGGGGAUAACGUAGGGAAACUUACGCUAAUACCGCAUACGACCUACGGGUGAAAGCAGGGGAUCUUCGGACCUUGCGCGAUUGAAUGAGCCGAUGUCGGAUUAGCUAGUUGGCGGGGUAAAGGCCCACCAAGGCGACGAUCCGUAGCUGGUCUGAGAGGAUGAUCAGCCACACUGGAACUGAGACACGGUCCAGACUCCUACGGGAGGCAGCAGUGGGGAAUAUUGGACAAUGGGCGCAAGCCUGAUCCAGCCACACCGCGUGGGUGAAGAAGGCCUUCGGGUUGUAAAGCCCUUUUGUUGGGAAAGAAAAGCAGCAGGUUAAUACCCCGCUGUUCUGACGGUACCCAGAGAAUAAGCACCGGCUAACUUCGUG
RNAcentral lists this ribosomal RNA (492 nucleotides) under uncultured bacterium. RNAcentral's name for it is "partial 16S ribosomal RNA". It matches the Rfam family "Bacterial small subunit ribosomal RNA", at positions 29 to 507 of the family's 1533-position model. The record is from RNAcentral.